CCCUUUGUGUACCUACCUCUGUUGCUUUGGCGGGCCGCGGUCCUCCGCGGCCGCCCCCCUCCCCGGGGGGGUGGCCAGCGCCCGCCAGAGGACCAUCAAACUCCAGUCAGUAAACGAUGCAGUCUGAAAAACAUUUAAUAAACUAAAACUUUCAACAACGGAUCUCUUGGUUCUGGCAUCGAUGAAGAACGCAGCGAAAUGCGAUAAGUAAUGUGAAUUGCAGAAUUCAGUGAAUCAUCGAAUCUUUGAACGCACAUUGCGCCCUUUGGUAUUCCGAAGGGCAUGCCUGUUCGAGCGUCAUUACAACCCUCAAGCUCUGCUUGGUAUUGGGCACCGUCCUUUGCGGGCGCGCCUCAAAGACCUCGGCGGUGGCGUCUUGCCUCAAGCGUAGUAGAACAUACAUCUCGCUUCGGAGCGCAGGGCGUCGCCCGCCGGACGAACCUUCUGAACUUUUCUCAAGGUUGACCUCGGAUCAGGUAGGGAUACCCGCUGAACUUAAGCAUAUCAAUA
RNAcentral lists this ribosomal RNA (510 nucleotides) under Botryosphaeria dothidea. RNAcentral's name for it is "eukaryotic LSU rRNA". The stretch from base 147 to 300 matches the Rfam family "5.8S ribosomal RNA". The record is from RNAcentral. Lineage: Eukaryota; Fungi; Ascomycota; Dothideomycetes; Botryosphaeriales; Botryosphaeriaceae.